GUGGGGAAUUUUGGACAAUGGGCGCAAGCCUGAUCCAGCCAUGCCGCGUGCAGGAUGAAGGCCUUCGGGUUGUAAACUGCUUUUGUACGGAACGAAAAGACUCUGGUUAAUACCUGGGGUCCAUGACGGUACCGUAAGAAUAAGCACCGGCUAACUACGUGCCAGCAGCCGCGGUAAUACGUAGGGUGCGAGCGUUAAUCGGAAUUACUGGGCGUAAAGCGUGCGCAGGCGGUUAUGUAAGACAGAUGUGAAAUCCCCGGGCUCAACCUGGGAACUGCAUUUGUGACUGCAUAGCUAGAGUACGGCAGAGGGGGAUGGAAUUCCGCGUGUAGCAGUGAAAUGCGUAGAUAUGCGGAGGAACACCGAUGGCGAAGGCAAUCCCCUGGGCCUGCACUGACGCUCAUGCACGAAAGCGUGGGGAGCAAACAGGAUUAGAAACCCUAGUAGUCC
This 450-nucleotide ribosomal RNA is filed under the name uncultured bacterium. RNAcentral's name for it is "partial 16S ribosomal RNA". It matches the Rfam family "Bacterial small subunit ribosomal RNA", at positions 354 to 796 of the family's 1533-position model. The record is from RNAcentral.